AUCACCAUAAAAAGGGACCUGAGUAUGUCGACUUCCUGGAUGGCGUGGUGAGUCAACAUAGUCCUUUUCACCGCCACUGCUUGGCCGUGUCGUUGGCCUCUAUAGACACGCCCAAAGCUGCCUUCUCCCAAGAUCUCCCCCAGGUGUAAAUGUUCCAUCUGAAACAUGUUAACUAGACACCUUUUGUCUUACGGAACACUGGUUCUGGUUGGCCGAGCAACUACAGUUAUUCAGAUCAACAGGUCAUAGACAACAGGUGAAACGACUUUAACAACGGCGAACGGACCGGAAAACUUCGGAGCCAACCUGGCGGCGAAACUGUCAACGGCAGAGGAUAAAGGACGGUCCCGGCGUAGAACUUUAUCUCCCACAUGGUAUCGGAUUUCUC
This is a long non-coding RNA of Coccinella septempunctata (seven-spotted ladybird), 388 nucleotides long. RefSeq lists it as uncharacterized. Lineage: Eukaryota; Metazoa; Arthropoda; Insecta; Coleoptera; Coccinellidae. The transcript has 3 exons. The record is from RefSeq and is a predicted model, not a curated record.